Molecule: ribosomal RNA, 305 nt
Filed under: uncultured bacterium
Lineage: Bacteria
Description: bacterial SSU rRNA
Rfam family: Bacterial small subunit ribosomal RNA
Source: RNAcentral
UCAUACCUACGGGAGGCAGCAGUGGGGAAUAUUGCACAAUGGGGGGAACCCUGAUGCAGCGACGCCGCGUGAGGGAUGAAGGUCUUCGGAUCGUAAACCUCUGUCAGCAGGGAAGAACGGUCACUGUGCUAGUCAGCAGUGAAUUGACGGUACCUGCAAAGGAAGCACCGGCUAACUCCGUGCCAGCAGCCGCGGUAAUACGGAGGGUGCGAGCGUUAAUCGGAAUUACUGGGCGUAAAGCGCUCGUAGGCGGUAUGUCAAGUCAAGGGUGAAAUCCCCGCGCUCAACGUGGGAACUGCCUUUGA